This 139-nucleotide long non-coding RNA is filed under the name Monodelphis domestica (gray short-tailed opossum). RNAcentral describes it as "lncRNA (ENSMODG00000041571.1)". The record is from RNAcentral. Lineage: Eukaryota; Metazoa; Chordata; Mammalia; Didelphimorphia; Didelphidae.
AGGACAAAGAAGCCUGAAAACAAAUAUUGAUUAUGGAUAUUCCACAAACAAAUUAUCUACAUGUGAAUAAUUGAGGCUCUAUGCAUUAGCCAAAACAUUAGCUGUAAGUAUUUUUUUUCCUCCAAAGUACAUUAAUGGC